UUGGUAAGUGUGUGUGUGCGCAGGAGCGAUCAGAAGAACAGGGGGUUCUUUCAAAACCCUAAAGCACAUGAAAUCCAGCAAAAUCAAGGAGAAAUCGAGCAAAGAAAUUAGGGCUUUAACUAAAAUCGUGAUCACCAAGCUAAGGGGAUCGAAAGUUUGACGCCUAACAAGCUAGGUGGAAGCUUGUGGAUGAAGCGGGUCAAACGGAGCGCGUACGGAAAGAAAGGCGUGGCAUGGAUGCAAGGUAAGUAUAGCUUACACUAGUCUUAUAUGUUAGGAUAUUCUCUUAUCGUAAUAGUUAUGAAUGAGAUAAAUACAUAAUUGAGGUAUGAUGUUCCGGCGUGUAAACGUACGGGACAAAGUAGUCAAUCAUUACAAGAAACCAUGUGGAUGGUUAAAAGGAGUUAAAUCGGUAAAUUGGUCAUGCGUUGACCAUAACUAUUGGUUUUGAAAGACACAGUAAAACAUAAACCAUGAUAGGCUAAAAAGUGUUAAGAAAUGAUUAAUAAGUGAAAUGACCGCACGAUGUAAACCGGAGCGAGUCAUGUAGAUGAGAUGGUAAUAAAUAUCAUCUCGUCAACAUAUUCGGUCACUUAGACCAAAUGGGUUAAAAAGGUGAAGAUAUCACCCUUUGACAAUAACGACUAAUGAUUUUUGUCGAGUUAUAUUAUUUCAGGUGUAAAUGUCAAAUGGGUAUUAGCAACGCUAUGAAUUAGCGGUUAUAAAAGCAAGGUAUUAAAAACGGGUCAAUAUAUUGAUCUGCGCCAGGUAUGUGAAAAAGGGUAACCCUCAUUUAGAACAUGUGGUUCAAAGAGUGUUAAAAGUAGUCAAGGUGAACAUUUGGUUACUUGAUAAGUAAACCAAAUGUUUUAGGUAAGGAACAUUGUAUUUGGAAAGCUUAAUGACUUUUCAAACAAAAUCAUAGGUUAAAAGAGGGAUUACGGGUCAAAAUAAGCAUACGAGUGAAAACGGGUUUUAAAUUGUGUAAUUAAACUUGUGAUUAUAACCUAAUAUGGUAAAUAACCUUAAUUUGAAGUAGUGUACGUGAUAUAAAGGUUAAACAAGUAUGUUUGUUUGAUAAACGUAUAAACGGGGCAAAAUUUUGGUAAAAAAGUAAUAAGCCGAAGACUUAAAAGUCUUAAAUUUUAUUAAUCCGGAUGUUGGAUUUUAACUCCAUAUGAUGGAAGAUUAAAUUACAAUCAUGUAGGAAGAAACGGUAGAUCAAACGGAUAAGCGGUUUGAAAGAUACGAAAGUUUUCGUAUCGAAUAACGGCAAAAAUAGAGAAGCUGGAUGCAGAGUCCACCGUAAUUUACGGUCCCACCGUAAAUUACGGUGGAGAUGAAUUGGUUACGGUGCUAAUUGUCUGUUGUACGGUAGAAGAAUAGAAACCCAGGGGCCAUCGUAAUUUACGGUCCCACCGUAAAUUACGGUGGAGAUUAUUUUUUUUAUAUUUUGUUUUCAUUUGAAAAUCAAUUGUUUCCCGGACAUCGUUCGGACAUGAUUUAAACCCCGUAUGACUAAAGCAUUUCAUGUUUAUGAAAUGUAGGUACACCUUGGACGCCGGAAGACGAUCAAGCUCAGCGAAGAACCGAACACGAUAAUGAUACACGCUUCCGCACCUUGCUACGUUGUAAUUUUUAAACAACGAAUUCGAUCACGUUAUGUAGAAUAACUUAUGAUUUAUAAAAGUUUUAAUAAACCCGUAUUUCCAAAUGUUUAUGUAAUCUUAAAUUACAUGAUUGUUUUACGUAAAAUUUACGUUAAACCUUGAAUAAUAAGACCGGGUGUUAC
This 1792-nucleotide long non-coding RNA is filed under the name Helianthus annuus (common sunflower). Its description in RNAcentral is "hypothetical non coding rna". The record is from RNAcentral. Lineage: Eukaryota; Viridiplantae; Streptophyta; Magnoliopsida; Asterales; Asteraceae.